This is a transfer RNA of 76 nucleotides. It matches the Rfam family "tRNA". Rfam says of the family: Transfer RNA (tRNA) molecules are approximately 80 nucleotides in length. Their secondary structure includes four short double-helical elements and three loops (D, anti-codon, and T loops).
GGCCCUGUCGUCUAACCCGGUUCAGGACACUGCCCUUUCAAGGCAAAAAUGAGGGGUUCAAAUCCCCCCAGGGUCA